CGAGACAAGCUUUGAGGUAAUGCGAGUCUAUAGGCCACAUUUCCUAUUCGGUCAAGAAUCUCAAAUGGACCAACAAAUCGUGGAUUGAGCUUUCCUCUCUUCCCAAAUCUUGUAACUCCAUUCCAUGGAGCUAUACAUAACAGUACAUGAUCUGCAAUAUUAAAUUCCACGUCCUUUCGAUGAAGAUCCGCAUAACUCUUUUGUCGAUCCUGUGCCGUUUGUAUACGUUGUCGAAUCAUUUGGAUCUUUUCUAUAGUCAUACGUACCAACUUUGGU
This 276-nucleotide long non-coding RNA is filed under the name Panax ginseng (ginseng). RNAcentral's name for it is "long non-coding RNA (PGIN_LNC015866)". The record is from RNAcentral. Lineage: Eukaryota; Viridiplantae; Streptophyta; Magnoliopsida; Apiales; Araliaceae.